GCCUGGUGGCUCAGUCGGUUAAGCAUCUGACUUCAGCUCAGCUCAGGUCAUGAUCUCAUGGUUCGUGGGUUCAAGCCCCACAUCAGGCU
RNAcentral lists this transfer RNA (89 nucleotides) under Felis catus (domestic cat). It matches the Rfam family "tRNA". Rfam says of the family: Transfer RNA (tRNA) molecules are approximately 80 nucleotides in length. Lineage: Eukaryota; Metazoa; Chordata; Mammalia; Carnivora; Felidae. The record is from Rfam by way of RNAcentral.